GCCAAUGAUGGAAAAACAGAGACAGUCUGAAAUGCAGUUGUUUUGGUUAGCUGCAUAAAUUUGUUGAAAUUUCAUAAACUAGGACGGCCUGAGGC
This 95-nucleotide small nucleolar RNA is filed under the name Corchorus olitorius. Its description in RNAcentral is "Small nucleolar RNA snoR20a". It matches the Rfam family "Small nucleolar RNA snoR20a". From Rfam's summary of the family: The O.sativum sequence was obtained from the plant snoRNA database. Lineage: Eukaryota; Viridiplantae; Streptophyta; Magnoliopsida; Malvales; Malvaceae. The record is from Rfam by way of RNAcentral.